This 720-nucleotide ribosomal RNA is filed under the name Mycobacterium sp. L2013. RNAcentral's name for it is "bacterial SSU rRNA". It matches the Rfam family "Bacterial small subunit ribosomal RNA", at positions 23 to 744 of the family's 1533-position model. Lineage: Bacteria; Bacillati; Actinomycetota; Actinomycetes; Mycobacteriales; Mycobacteriaceae. The record is from RNAcentral.
CUCAGGACGAACGCUGGCGGCGUGCUUAACACAUGCAAGUCGAACGGAAAGGCCCUUUCGGGGGUACUCGAGUGGCGAACGGGUGAGUAACACGUGGGUGAUCUGCCCUGCACUUCGGGAUAAGCUUGGGAAACUGGGUCUAAUACCGGAUAGGACUACGCACUGCAUGGUGUGUGGUGGAAAGCUUUUGCGGUGUGGGAUGGGCCCGCGGCCUAUCAGCUUGUUGGUGGGGUGAUGGCCUACCAAGGCGACGACGGGUAGCCGGCCUGAGAGGGUGUCCGGCCACACUGGGACUGAGAUACGGCCCAGACUCCUACGGGAGGCAGCAGUGGGGAAUAUUGCACAAUGGGCGCAAGCCUGAUGCAGCGACGCCGCGUGGGGGAUGACGGCCUUCGGGUUGUAAACCUCUUUCACCAUCGGCGAAGCCCAUGAUUUUUGUUGUGGGUGACGGUAGGUGGAGAAGAAGCACCGGCCAACUACGUGCCAGCAGCCGCGGUAAUACGUAGGGUGCGAGCGUUGUCCGGAAUUACUGGGCGUAAAGAGCUCGUAGGUGGUUUGUCGCGUUGUCCGUGAAAUUCCCUGGCUUAACUGGGGGCGUGCGGGCGAUACGGGCAGACUGGAGUACUGCAGGGGAGACUGGAAUUCCUGGUGUAGCGGUGGAAUGCGCAGAUAUCAGGAGGAACACCGGUGGCGAAGGCGGGUCUCUGGGCAGUAACUGAC